RNAcentral lists this small nuclear RNA (105 nucleotides) under Neotoma lepida (desert woodrat). The record is from RNAcentral. Lineage: Eukaryota; Metazoa; Chordata; Mammalia; Rodentia; Cricetidae.
GUGCUCACUUCGGCGUAUACACUAAAACUGAAAUGAUACAGAGAAGAUAAGCAUGGCCCCUGUGCAAGGAUAAUAUGAUGCAUCUGAAAUGUAUUUUAAGAUAAC